This is a non-coding RNA of Rhincodon typus (whale shark), 864 nucleotides long. The record is from the annotation of a RefSeq genome assembly. Lineage: Eukaryota; Metazoa; Chordata; Chondrichthyes; Orectolobiformes; Rhincodontidae.
CCAGAGCAGUAGCAGCGUGCAGCAUUUUUGCCUUCCUGAUAAAACGGCUUAAUAAGUCAAAACCAGGACAAGAUUAAAUCCUGAACUGCAAAGGGAGUCGCUGCUGAUUUAAACCUUGCUGGAGGAUGCUUUCGAGUUCAUUGCAGUUUACAGUUCUCUUACUGAUUCCAUGCAGUGUCCAGGGAGAUCUGCUGUAUCAGUGGCCUCGCCAGGUCGUCUCUGAAGAAGGGAAAUCGGUCGAGUUCCAUUGCUAUCAAAAUGGAACAGUCCGGGACAACAUGUUCUGGUACCAACAGAGAUCUGGGCAGGCACUCACUUUAGUUGGGUACUUUUACAGUGGCGGAAAGCCUGAGUAUGGAGAUGGGUUCAAAAAUGGAUUUGACAUCAGCCGGACCAGCAAUGACAGAAUGUCAAAGCUCAAGGUGGAGAGAGUGCUGUUAAAGGACACGGCGAUCUAUCACUGCGGGACUGGAGAUAGGGCACAGAGCUACAAACUCAUCUGGCACCGUGACAAAAAGAAACCCGCCGCAGUCAAUCAACCCAGAUCUACUUCCUUCGUUUCAAAUCACCUAGUUUCAGUCGCCUACGCUUCGAUUUAAAACUUGUCCUAAAACAAAACAAAUCAAAACUGUUUCCAGGGAUGAGAAACUUAAUUAAUGUGGAUAGAUUGAAGAAUUUGGGACAGUUCCCUUUUGGAAAGAAGAAGGCUGAAAGGAGAUCUAAUAGCAGUUUACAUUGGUGGAAACUGAUGAAAAAAUAAAUUGUUAAUUUCCAAUCUGUGACUUGUGAUCCAAAAGGCAUGAAAAAAUAUGAAUUGAGUUCACGUUCCAUGGCUGAAUGUGGGGGAAAGGGGCAUGCGUUAAG